Long non-coding RNA from Haplochromis burtoni (Burton's mouthbrooder), 1320 nucleotides. RefSeq lists it as uncharacterized. The transcript is spliced from 3 exons. Lineage: Eukaryota; Metazoa; Chordata; Actinopteri; Cichliformes; Cichlidae. The record is from RefSeq and is a predicted model, not a curated record.
ACUGUCACAGGUGACACACUCACCUGUCUGUGUUUCUGCAGCUUUCAACAUUCACAAUGUGACGACAACUUAAUGACUGUGUUUGCUUAAUUUUAGGGGAAGACACCACCACACCUCCACCUACAUCCACACCUCCACCUACAUCCACACCUCCUCUUACCAAUGUGUUGUUGUUUGUUGGAACAGUCUGUGUUCUGGUUCUACUGGUUUCUCUGGUGGUUCUGCUGGUGACACAACGUGUUUACAGGAAACGUGAAGGAAGUGAUCCAGAUGCAGUCUACUCAACAGUGAGAAUAUAUGAAGAUGUCAGUGAAGGACAAAUAGCCAACAGACCAAGAGGCUUUAAACUAGUGCCAAACGUCAUCUACUCUGGGCUGCAGUAGUCCACCAGUCCAACCACAGCCGCAAUCCAGCUGCUGGCCUCUAACAGACCCUGCCAACACCUCAAACCAGAGGACAUCAACAUGUUCAAAAGUAUAUUUUAUGUCUAUACCUGUCUAAUUACAAUUACAGUGAACCUAACCAAAACCUACAUAUUACUUAAAGGCACAAACACACACACACACACACACACACACACACACACACACACACACACACACACACACACACACUUAUUUAAGACUAAUACAAACAUGCAGUUAAUCACUGUUAUUUGUGUUUUUUUCACGUUUGUCAGAUCCUGCUCUUCUUUCCAGAGGUUUAGAGAUCAUGUUCAGUAAAAUAUUUUUUCACUAGUUUUUCUCAUGUGGUUCUGUGUAGGUUUCACCAAAGGUUCAGAUAAAAAAAAAAUUGGAGUUGUUCCAUUUUGGUUAACCGAUACACUUCAUUCUUCAGAGCAAAAAAUAAAGAAUAAACCACAACCACAGACUAAGAACAGCAUGGGCACUCUUGAGUGGCUGCAAACUGUGCAGAAAGCCUCAGUGCAUCACAUAUGUGUUUGAGACUGAAUAGAUCUCAUCUUUAUGUAGAAAAAAAUAUAUAAGUAAACCGACCAAAGAAAACAUUUUGAGUCUUUUUUUUUCUUGAUUUUCAUGAUUUGUAUGAUUGAAAAACUCUGGAGAGAAAGAAAAAACCCAACUCCAACAAGUUAUUUUGAACUUUAGUGAAUAAUUAAUGACAUGAGUUGUGCUAAAUUAAAUGAUGAUCAUCAUUUUACAGUUAACCUCAUUUUUACAAAACAUCAUAGUAUUUGUAUCAGUCUUUCUCAUGGAAACUUUCUAGUGUCACACUUGAUAGUUUAAGAUGAAAACAAAGAGCUUUCAAUUCAAUUUUAACAACAACAGUUGCCUCAAGGCGCUUUAAAUUGUAAGAUAGACC